AGUUGAUUUGGGAACCAGAGAACAGCAGCCUAAGUGUGACUGUAAUUUUUGGCAGCUACAGAUUCCCAAGACAACUAGGAAGGGAAAAGGAACCCUUCAAGGAAGUUCCAGGAAAAACGUCUCUCCCAAAAAGACCACCGCUUCAGGAAAACCUGAGGAAGGGAGUGGGCCAACAGUAUCCUGCCACUGUGACCAGCUGAACGAGGAACUCCAUCAAAAUGAGCCACAGCUGGACCAAAACAGUGAGGAGACCUCCACCUUCUUCAGUGUCUCCCUGAGCAGUCAGUAAUUUCAGGGCAAGCUGAGAGGUCUCCAGAGGUCUAACCCCAGAUAAAUAGCCAACAGGGUCUAGAGUACAUUUUAUACCCAACAGGGUAUACCCCAUGGUGAUCAAAAUAAAAUAAACCUGUUGUAAAAUGAAAAAAAAAAAAA
Molecule: long non-coding RNA, 432 nt
Filed under: Homo sapiens (human)
Lineage: Eukaryota; Metazoa; Chordata; Mammalia; Primates; Hominidae
Description: MAGEA4 antisense RNA 1 (MAGEA4-AS1)
Source: RNAcentral